UCCAACGUCUCUCACUAUCCCUCAACCUCUUUCUCUUUCAAUCUUGACGCCACACUUCAAUUUCUCCCUUCUCUUAAUUUCAGUUCCUUUCAUUUUCUGGUAGAGACAAAGGAGACACAUUUUAUCCGUGGACCCAAAACUCCCGUGUCAGUCACCGACUAGGGAAGGCAGCCUUCCCUUGGUGUUUAAUCAUUGCAGGGAUGCCUCUCUGAUUAUUCACCCACGUUCCAUUGGUGUCUGAUCUCCGCAGGGACGCCUGCCUUGAUCAUUCACCCACAUUCCCUUGGUGGCAAGUCAGUUGCAGGGAUGCCUGCUUUGGCUGCUCACCCACGUUGCAGCCCAGGGCUGCUCCCCACCCCCUUCUCGGUGUCUCUACCCUUCUCUUUAAACUUCCCUCCUUCACUAUAGGCCACCUUCCACGCUCCAUUCCUGCCUCUUCUCCCUUAGCCUGUGUUCUCAAGAACUUAAAACCUCUUCAACUCUCGCCUGACCUAAAAUCUAAGUGUCUUAUUUUCUUCUGCGACGCGGCUUAAUCCCAAUACGAACUCGACAGUGGUUCCAAAUAGCCAGAAAACGGCACUUUCGAUUUUUCCAUCCUACAAGAUCUAGAUAAUUCUUGUCGUAAAAUAGGCAAACGGUCUGAGGUGCCUGACGUCCAGGCAUUCUUUUACACAUUGUUCCCUCCCUAGUCUCUGUUCCCAAUGCCACUGAUCCCAAAUCCUCCUUCUUUCCCGCCCGCCUGUCCCCUCUGUCCCAACCCCAAGCGUCGCUGAGUCUUUCUAAUCUUCCUUUUCUACAGACCUGUCUGACCUCUCCCCUUCUCCCCAGGCUGCUCCUCGCCAGGCCGAGCCAGGCCGCAAUUCUUCCUCAGCCUCUGCUCCCCCACCCUAUAAUCUAUCACCUCCUCUCCUCACACCGGGUCUGGUUUACAGUUUCAUUCUGUGACUAGCCCUCCCCCACCUGCCCAACAAUUUCCUCUUAAAGAGGUGGCUGGAGCUAAAAGCACAGUCAAGAUCUUCUCGGCUUAGCGGCUGAAGACUGACACUGUCCGAUUGCCUUGGAAGCUCCCUGGACCAUCAUGGAUGCCGAGCUUCGGGUAACUCUCACAGUAGAGGAUACAGAGAGGAGUCUGGGAAGCCACAUGUUUCAGGCUUAAGUAACUUGGCGGUGACAUUUAUUGAGAUGGGAGGAAACACAGGAAGGGAAAGAGGCUGCAUAGAGGAAAAGGGUGAUGAACUCGGUUUUGGAAGCGCUGAUGUGAAGUCCCUAUGAUGAAAAAAGAAGUCUUCCGAUUUCUCCCUUUGAAGUCUUUGCUUCUUCCCUUGGAAAGAACACAGCCUAUGACAUCAGGUUGAAACCAGGAAUGUAGUUCUCUGAAAAUAUUGUGUGUGGGGGUUGGGGGAAGGAGUUUAUCUUGUCUCAUUCAUUACAAGGAUACUUUCCUCUCUGAAACCUUAGCUCCCUGAACAUUUCCUAGAUCGUCCAUCUUUUCCUCAUUUUUAGAUUGUAAGCAAUGAACUGUUAAUAAUUUUGUACAUUUUGGUUUUACAGCCACACACUUUAUUCUUCUUUGUCAAGUUUAAAGUAUUGUAGGGCUUGUGCCUUCCCACAUAAAAUUUAGAAUAAACUUGUCUAUUUCCACAAAAAGCCAUGUUGGUAGUUUGAGAGUAAUUGCAAUCAACCUAUGGAUCAAAUUGAGAAUUGUAUCCUUAUUAUGUUGAAUCUUCCAACCCACGGACAUGGUAUGUCUCUCUAUUAAAAUAGUUCUUUUUUUCACUUCUUUCUUCAGAAGUGUGUGAUUUUUUUUCAACAUACAGAUCCUAUGCAUGUUUUGUUAGAUUUAUAUUUAAAUACUUCCUUUGCUCUUAAGAGAUUUAAACUGUUAUUAUGUUUUUGAUUUCAGUUUUUACAUGUUUGUAGUUAGCAUAUGGAAAUGUGAUUGCAUUUCUCAUGUUGACCUUGUAUUCUGUGACCUUGGUAAACUCACCUAUUAAUUUUAAGAGGUUAUUUGUAUAUUGCUUGGCAUUUUCUAUGUAGAUAAUCAUGUCAUCUGCAAAUAUGGACAGUUUUAUUUCUACCUUUCCAGUCUGCAUGGCUUUUAAUUCUUUUUUUGUGUGUCUUAGUAUGAUGACUAAAAUUUCCGUGUUGAAUAAGAGCAGCAGGAACUGACACUGUUACCUUGUCCCCAGUGUUAGCUGGAAAACAUUCCGUUUUUCACUAUUAAGUAUGAUGACAGCUAUAGGUUUUGUGUACAUAUUCUCUAUCAAGUUGAAAUAGUUUGACAGGUGGGUCUACAGUCACUUUCAUUUGGACUGACCCUGACACCCAUCAGGCUCAGCAAAUUGCCUGGGCUUUUUUAGUUAUCCCCACCUGCCCAGCUUUAUUGGGCAUUACUGUUGUGCUUUAUUGGAACAAGCUAUGUAUCAAGAAUUGUGAUUUUUCUGCAGCGGUUGAUGGAGGAAUUUUGACAAAGGUAGAAGAAUCAAAGAAUGGAUUAUUGGUUCAUUUGAAAGGUGACUCAUCCUGUGUCCUUUUGCCAUCAGGGGCUCCGCUCUGCUGAUGGAGUAUUUGAGAACCUCUAUGAAUGAGCCCUGGAGAGUAAGAAAGUUCCCCCAGGUUUCUGUGUUCAUUAAACCUGUAGAACUCUUGAAACUGUGCAAGAUGAAGUAACAAUUUUGAUCAAACAGAGCUGUCGGUUUCUGUCUUCAGAUUACAGAAGUAACUCUACAAGGCCAACAUCCCAGUUCCCAUCCAGAUAACUGAUGAUGAAGCAAAGAGCUGGCUUCCCGGCCGGGCGCGGUGGCUCAAGCCUGGAAUCCCAGCACUUUGGGAGGCCGAGACGGGCGGAUCACGAGGAGUUGAAGUUAAUCGGCCUGAUCCUGUCGGAGUGGAAAGCUUCCUGUCUUCGAUCUGGGACAUUGGUCUUCUCCUGCCUCCAACUCUGACUCAGACUGGCACUUACCCCGUCAACUCUCCUGGGUCUCCAGCUUGCUGACUGCAAAACUUGGGACUUCUCAGCUUCCAUAACUAUUUGAACCAAUUCUUUAUAAUAAAAGUCUCUACAUACAUUUUAUUGGUUCUG
This is a non-coding RNA of Chlorocebus sabaeus (green monkey), 3082 nucleotides long. The record is from RefSeq and is a predicted model, not a curated record. Lineage: Eukaryota; Metazoa; Chordata; Mammalia; Primates; Cercopithecidae.